RNAcentral lists this non-coding RNA (797 nucleotides) under Dysdercus decussatus. Lineage: Eukaryota; Metazoa; Arthropoda; Insecta; Hemiptera; Pyrrhocoridae. The record is from RNAcentral.
CUUUUUUACAAGACUAAAAACUUAGUUUGAUUCUAACUAAUUUAAAUAGCUAAAAAAUGUCUUUACAUGUGAAUUUUUGUGUGUUAUAUUAUUAUUCUUAAAGAAUAAUGGUUUUUAUUCGCAGUUAAAAAUUUUAUUAAAAUAAAUUAUUUUAGUAUUAGUCAAUUUGGUUAGAAUAAUUAAAAAUUGUGCCAGCAAAUGCGGUUAUACAAUUUAUUCUAGUUAUUUUUUUUAAAAAAUAUUUAGUUAUUUUUCUUGGAUUUUAUUAUAAUUAUUAUUAAGUGAAAUUUUAAUUUUAUAUUAGAUUUUUGGUUAAAUAUUAAAUAUGAAACUCAUUUUUUAAACUAGGAUUAGAUACCCUAUUAUUUUGAGCUUAAAGAUUUGAUUUUUUUUGGUAUUAAUAGUUAUGAUCUUUAAAUUAAAAGAUUUUGGCGGUAACUUAAUCUGUUUAGAGGAACCUGUUCUUUAAUCGAUAAUCCACGUUGGAUUUAACUUUAAUUUAAUUUGUAUAUCUCUGUCAUUAGAAUGUUUUAUUAGGAUUAUUAUUUUCUUUAAUUAUUAUUUAAAUAAUGUCAGGUCAAGGUGCAGUUAUAUUAAAGGUUGUAAUGGGUUACAUUUAAUGUUAUUUAUUGGAUUAUUAUUAUUAUUAUUUUAUAUUAAAAAGGAUUUAAAAGUAAAUUUUAGUAUCUACUAUUUUUGAUUUAAGCACUAAGUUAUGCACAUAUCGCCCGUCACUCUCAUUAAAUUGAGAUAAGUCGUAACAAAGUAAUUCUAUUGGAAAGUGGGGUUGGAUUUUA